GCCCUGCAAAAGGGCAAGAAACGGACUCAAAAUCCGCCGACCGCAAGGUCGUGGGGGUUCGCCCCCCUCUCCCGGCACCA
This 80-nucleotide transfer RNA is filed under the name Granulicella aggregans. RNAcentral describes it as "tRNA-OTHER". Lineage: Bacteria; Pseudomonadati; Acidobacteriota; Terriglobia; Terriglobales; Acidobacteriaceae. The record is from RNAcentral.